RNAcentral lists this non-coding RNA (148 nucleotides) under Gorilla gorilla gorilla (western lowland gorilla). The record is from Rfam by way of RNAcentral. Lineage: Eukaryota; Metazoa; Chordata; Mammalia; Primates; Hominidae.
GCCAGGUAUGGUGAUGCAUGCCUGUAAUCCCAGCUACUUGGGAGGCUGAGGCAGGAGAAUCACUUGAACCUGGGAGGCACAGGUUGCAGUGAGCCAAGAUCGUGCCACUGCACUCCAGCCUGGGUGACAGAGUGAGACCCUGUCUCAG